This 427-nucleotide ribosomal RNA is filed under the name uncultured bacterium. RNAcentral describes it as "bacterial SSU rRNA". It matches the Rfam family "Bacterial small subunit ribosomal RNA", at positions 335 to 755 of the family's 1533-position model. The record is from RNAcentral.
ACUCCUACGGGAGGCAGCAGUGGGGAAUAUUGCACAAUGGGCGCAAGCCUGAUGCAGCCAUGCCGCGUGUAUGAAGAAGGCCUUCGGGUUGUAAAGUACUUUCAGCAGUGAGGAAGGUGGUGUCGUUAAUAGCGGCAUCAUUUGACGUUAGCUGCAGAAGAAGCACCGGCUAACUCCGUGCCAGCAGCCGCGGUAAUACGGAGGGUGCGAGCGUUAAUCGGAAUUACUGGGCUAAAGCGCAUGCAGGUGGUUUGUUAAGUCAGAUGUGAAAGCCCGGGGCUCAACCUCGGAAUUGCAUUUGAAACUGGCAGACUAGAGUACUGUAGAGGGGGGUAGAAUUUCAGGUGUAGCGGUGAAAUGCGUAGAGAUCUGAAGGAAUACCGGUGGCGAAGGCGGCCCCCUGGACAGAUACUGACACUCAGAUGCG